Anneissia japonica is the source of this 1046-nucleotide long non-coding RNA. RefSeq lists it as uncharacterized. The record is from RefSeq and is a predicted model, not a curated record. Lineage: Eukaryota; Metazoa; Echinodermata; Crinoidea; Comatulida; Comatulidae. The transcript has 2 exons.
GGCAAAAUUUGUUGUUCUCUUGAUCCAUUUCAAGAAGGAAUCAAUCAAAAUGGACCCAUGUUGAUUUCAUCUAAAUUUUAAUUUGCAGAACGUAGUUAAUUAGUUAACUUUAUAAUAUGUCCUAUCAUUAAUGCAUCAAAUACAUUAUAAUAAAUAACGUAUUAAGUUUGUAUUGCUUAAUUGUAAAAUUGCAGAUACUGAAGCAAAGGCUGCUAUUUGGCCGAUUCCCCCUAUAUGUUAAAAAGAAGAUAAUCAAGUUUUCAUGUACAAGGGUGAUAGUGACAACAGCAAACUGGCUGAUGUGUAUCUGGAAAAAGAUGCAGGGACACCACUGCUGCCAGAAAAGUUCACCUUGUCGAAGGAGCAAAUAUAUGUACGGUGCGUGAUAUGGUCACAGCAUGCCGUGUACCUAUGCUCAUACUAUAUUUUCCAUUUACACUAUGUAGCUAUUGUUCAGGGAACACUUGAAUUUUCUCAAGUGGCUUUCUUGAAAAGAGUGUUCUUUUACUCUAAUUUCAAAACACCUAAUGCAUAGACUGAUGGUGAAAGCUUUUGUAAAAUAAUUUGAGUCAGUCAAUAAAGUAUACUAUCUGUAUUUUCUAUCUGUAUGUACUACAGGCUGACUAACAUGGUAUUUCUACAAUCUUGUACAGCAUGUCUACUGUUAAUUAAUUUUCAGAUUUUAAUUUUAUUUUAUAAGUGUAUGAUCCAAAGCAUAGGUGUAUGUGCAAUAUAAAAGCUGGGUACAAAUUAUUCAUUAUUGGUUCUUUUUGUAUAAGACAGCUAUACAUUUGUGUAGAGGUGUGGCAUUUAACAGUACACCUAAUACAUCCGACUAUUGUCCAAUUUGGAGGUCCAUUACAGUCCGGGGUUGUAAUUUGUACACGUCAAAUUUACUGAUCCUGGUCCUCAUUCGAUCACCUUUAAUUAGAGAACAGCAAUAAUUGAAACAUUUUGAAUAAAACAAGGCAAUAUCAUUAAUAGGAAACAGCGGUUCAUUGUUAAGUGUAGUUGAAUGAACAUUAAAGUAAAAUUUAAAUGUCAAA